UAACGCGUAGGUAACCUGCCUGGUAGUGGGGGAUAACUAUUGGAAACGAUAGCUAAUACCGCAUAAUAACAGUUGUUGCAUGACAACUGUUUGAAAGGUGCAAUUGCACCACUACCAGAUGGACCUGCGUUGUAUUAGCUAGUUGGUGGGGUAACGGCUCACCAAGGCGACGAUACAUAGCCGACCUGAGAGGGUGAUCGGCCACACUGGGACUGAGACACGGCCCAG
RNAcentral lists this ribosomal RNA (228 nucleotides) under uncultured bacterium. RNAcentral describes it as "partial 16S ribosomal RNA". It matches the Rfam family "Bacterial small subunit ribosomal RNA", at positions 111 to 334 of the family's 1533-position model. The record is from RNAcentral.